This 668-nucleotide ribosomal RNA is filed under the name uncultured Lachnospiraceae bacterium. Its description in RNAcentral is "bacterial SSU rRNA". It matches the Rfam family "Bacterial small subunit ribosomal RNA", at positions 757 to 1425 of the family's 1533-position model. Lineage: Bacteria; Bacillati; Bacillota; Clostridia; Lachnospirales; Lachnospiraceae. The record is from RNAcentral.
AAGCGUGGGGAGCAACCAGGAUUAGAUACCCUGGUAGUCCACGCCGUAAACGAUGAAUAUUAGGUGUUGGGAAGCAUUGCUUCUGGGUGCCGUCGCAAACCCAGUAAGUAUUCCACCUGGGGAGUACGUUGGCAAGAAUGAAAUUCAAAGGAAUGGACGGGGACCCGCCCAAGCGGUGGAGCAUGUGGUUUAAUUGGAAGCAACGGGAAGACCCUUACCAAGUCUGGACAUCCUUUUGACCGGUACUUAUCCGUACCUUCUUUUCGGAGCAGGAGUGCCAGGUGGUGCAUGGUGGUGGUCAGCUCGGGUCGUGAGAUGUUGGGUUAAGUCCCGCAACGAGCGCAACCCUUUUCUCUAGUAGCCACCGGUAAGGCCGGGCACUCUAGAGAGACUGCCAGGGAUAACCUGGAGGAAGGCGGGGAUGACGUCAAAUCAUCAUGCCCCUUAUGAUUUGGGCUACACACGUGCUACAAUGGCGUAAACAAAGGGAAGCAAAGCCGUGAAGCCGAGCAAAUCUCAAAAAGAACGUCUCAGUUCGGACUGUAGUCUGCAACCCGACUACACGAAGCUGGAAUCGCUAGUAAUCGCAGAUCAGAAUGUUGCGGUGAAUACGUUCCCGGGUCUUGUACACACCGCCCGUCACGCCAUGGGAGUCGGGAAUGCCCGAA